This 405-nucleotide ribosomal RNA is filed under the name uncultured bacterium. RNAcentral's name for it is "bacterial SSU rRNA". It matches the Rfam family "Bacterial small subunit ribosomal RNA", at positions 355 to 776 of the family's 1533-position model. The record is from RNAcentral.
UGGGGGAUAUUGCACAAUGGGGGAAACCCUGAUGCAGCAAUGCCGCGUGAGGGAAGAAGGUUUUCGGAUUGUAAACCUCUGUCCCGGGUGAAGAAAAAUGACGGUAGCCCGGGAGGAAGCUCCGGCUAACUACGUGCCAGCAGCCGCGGUAAUACGUAGGGAGCGAGCGUUGUCCGGAAUUACUGGGUGUAAAGGGUGCGUAGGCGGCCUAGCAAGUCAGGCGUGAAAUACAUGGGCUUAACUCAUGGACUGCGCUUGAAACUGUAUGGCUUGAGUGAAGUAGAGGCAGGCGGAAUUCCCGGUGUAGCGGUGAAAUGCGUAGAGAUCGGGAGGAACACCAGUGGCGAAGGCGGUCUGCUGGGCUUUAACUGACGCUGAUGCACGAAAGCAUGGGUAGCAAACAGG